GUCCCCGUAGCUCAGUUGGAUAGAGCGACGGUUUCCUAAACCGUAGGUCACAGGUUCGAAUCCUGCCGGGGAUA
RNAcentral lists this transfer RNA (74 nucleotides) under Thermoguttaceae bacterium. RNAcentral describes it as "tRNA-Arg". It matches the Rfam family "tRNA". From Rfam's summary of the family: Transfer RNA (tRNA) molecules are approximately 80 nucleotides in length. Their secondary structure includes four short double-helical elements and three loops (D, anti-codon, and T loops). Lineage: Bacteria; Pseudomonadati; Planctomycetota; Planctomycetia; Pirellulales; Thermoguttaceae. The record is from RNAcentral.